GUUCGGUGGCUCGGGCAAGACGGGGCCGGUUCGGCCCAAGCAGUCGGCCCGGUCCGGUUUACUCUUUUUUUUUCCUUCUCUUUUUCCCUUUUCCUUAUUUCUUUCAUAUCGUUUGAAUUUGAACUCCAAAUUGAUCCAAAUAAGUUCCAGAAAAUUUGUAAAAUCAUGUUUUACCAUGAUUCAACUUUUGGGAGUAAUUUCCCUUCAAAAUAAAAUAUGUAAAAAUACAAUUUCCCUAUAAAUGCCUUUAGGGUUAUAUAUCUAUUCGAAUAAAAUACUUUUUCAACUCCAAAUAAUUAUCCAAAAAAAUAUGGGAUAGCUUAUAUAUGCAUUAAACCCCUUUUAUAUAUAAACCUUAAUGGUUUGAAGAUCCAAAGCUCAAAUAGGUGUAAACCCUAGGGUUUAAAAUGAAAUAAAAAUCUUUCCAAAGCUUUUUGAGAUUAAAAUUUGAAUUCAAAUAUGCAAUUGUGGCAUGAUGCUCAUGGAUGCAAUGCAUAUGUAAAAGUUUGAAAUUUUUGGGAUGUUAUACUACUUGUGUGAAUGCUGAA
This 548-nucleotide long non-coding RNA is filed under the name Brachypodium distachyon (stiff brome). Its description in RNAcentral is "long non-coding RNA (BDIS_LNC004702)". The record is from RNAcentral. Lineage: Eukaryota; Viridiplantae; Streptophyta; Magnoliopsida; Poales; Poaceae.